Molecule: ribosomal RNA, 119 nt
Organism: Helobdella robusta
Lineage: Eukaryota; Metazoa; Annelida; Clitellata; Rhynchobdellida; Glossiphoniidae
Source: Rfam
GUCUACGGCCAUAUCACGUUGAAAACACCGGUUCUCGUCCGAUCACCAAAGUUAAUCAACGUCGAGCCCGGUUAGUACUUGGAUGGGUGACCGCCUGGGAAUACCGGGUUCUGUAGGCU